RNAcentral lists this ribosomal RNA (325 nucleotides) under uncultured microorganism. RNAcentral's name for it is "bacterial SSU rRNA". It matches the Rfam family "Bacterial small subunit ribosomal RNA", at positions 346 to 662 of the family's 1533-position model. The record is from RNAcentral.
GUGCACCAGGCGAGAAUCGUUCACAAUGGGCGCAAGCCUGAUGGCGCGACGCCGCGUGUGGGAUGGAGGCCUUCGGGUUGUAAACCACUGUCACAGGGGAAGAAAGGCACGGAUGCUAACAUCGUCCGUGUUUGACGUUACCCUGAGAGGAAGCCACGGCUAACUCCGUGCCAGCAGCCGCGGUAAUACGGAGGUGGCAAGCGUUGUUCGGAAUUACUGGGCGUAAAGGGUGCGCAGGCGGUCUGUUGUGUUCGAUGUGAAAUCCCCCGGCUCACCCGGGGAACUGCAUCGAAAACUGACAGACUUGAGUGCAGGAGAGGAGAGC